CAGUAGCCACGGUAACACGAGGGGAGCUAGCGUUGUUCGGAAUUACUGGGCGUAAAGCGCGCGUAGGCGGCUUUUUAAGUCAGAGGUGAAAGCCCGGGGCUCAACCCCGGAAUUGCCUUUGAAACUGGAAAGCUAGAAUCUUGGAGAGGUCAGUGGAAUUCCGAGUGUAGAGGUGAAAUUCGUAGAUAUUCGGAAGAACACCAGUGGCGAAGGCGACUGACUGGACAAGUAUUGACGCUGAGGUGCGAAAGCGUGGGGAGCAAACAGGAUUAGAUACCCCGGUAGUCCCUGUCUCUUAUAC
Molecule: ribosomal RNA, 301 nt
Filed under: uncultured bacterium
Lineage: Bacteria
Description: partial 16S ribosomal RNA
Rfam family: Bacterial small subunit ribosomal RNA
Source: RNAcentral